RNAcentral lists this ribosomal RNA (661 nucleotides) under uncultured bacterium. RNAcentral describes it as "bacterial SSU rRNA". It matches the Rfam family "Bacterial small subunit ribosomal RNA", at positions 94 to 788 of the family's 1533-position model. The record is from RNAcentral.
AGUGGCGGACGGGUGAGUAACGCGUGAGAAUCUGCCUUGGGGUCGGGGACAACCACUGGAAACGGUGGCUAAUACCGGAUAAGCCGAUUGGUGAAAGAUUUAUUGCCCGAAGAGGAGCUCGCGUCUGAUUAGCUAGUUGGUGAGGUAAGAGCUCACCAAGGCAGCGAUCAGUAGCGGGUCUGAGAGGACGAUCAGCCACACUGGGACUGAGACACGGCCCAGACUCCUACGGGAGGCAGCAGUGGGGAAUUUUCCGCAAUGGGCGAAAGCCUGACGGAGCAAGACCGCGUGAGGGAGGAAGGCUCUUGGGUUGUAAACCUCUUUUCUCAGGGAAGAAGCUCUGACGGUACCUGAGGAAUCAGCCUCGGCUAACUCCGUGCCAGCAGCCGCGGUAAUACGGAGGAGGCAAGCGUUAUCCGGAAUUAUUGGGCGUAAAGCGUCCGCAGGUGGCGAUUCAAGUCUGCUGUCAAAGCACGGGGCUUAACUCCGUAAAGGCAGUGGAAACUGAAUAGCUAGAGUGCCGUAGGGGUAGAGGGAAUUCCCGGUGUAGCGGUGAAAUGCGUAGAGAUCGGGAAGAACAUCGGUGGCGAAAGCGCUCUACUGGACGGCAACUGACACUCAGGGACGAAAAGCUAGGGGAGCGAAUGGGAUUAGAUACCCC